RNAcentral lists this ribosomal RNA (562 nucleotides) under Pseudohyphozyma bogoriensis. RNAcentral describes it as "eukaryotic LSU rRNA". It matches the Rfam family "Eukaryotic large subunit ribosomal RNA", at positions 62 to 648 of the family's 3401-position model. The record is from RNAcentral. Lineage: Eukaryota; Fungi; Basidiomycota; Microbotryomycetes; Chrysozymaceae.
AAACUAACAAGGAUUCCCCUAGUAGCGGCGAGCGAAGCGGGAAGAGCUCAAAUUUGUAAUCUGGCACCUUCGGUGUCCGAGUUGUAAUCUCGAGAAGUGUUUUCCGCGCCAGACCGCAUACAAGUCUGUUGGAAUACAGCGUCAUAGUGGUGAGAACCCCGUAUAUGAUGCGGAUGCCUGGUGCUCUGUGAUACACUUUCGAAGAGUCGAGUUGUUUGGGAAUGCAGCUCAAAUUGGGUGGUAAAUUCCAUCUAAAGCUAAAUAUUGGCGAGAGACCGAUAGCGAACAAGUACCGUGAGGGAAAGAUGAAAAGCACUUUGGAAAGAGAGUUAACAGUACGUGAAAUUGUUGGAAGGGAAACGCUUGAAGUCAGACUUGCUAUUUGGAAUUCAGCCGCAAGGUGUAUUUUUCAAUUUGCAGGCCAGCAUCAGUUUUCGGGGAUGGAAAAGGAUUAGGAGAAGGUAGCAGUUUCGGCUGUGUUAUAGCUCUUAAUUGGAUUCAUCCCUGGGGACUGAGGAACGCAGCUUCGGCUUAGGAUGCUGGUGGAAUGGCUUUAAACGAC